Molecule: long non-coding RNA, 1302 nt
Organism: Aedes aegypti (yellow fever mosquito)
Lineage: Eukaryota; Metazoa; Arthropoda; Insecta; Diptera; Culicidae
Exons: 3
Source: RefSeq, a predicted model, not a curated record
UGUACGUCUAUUAUCAUGGGGUUGUAUUUUGAUUUAACAUUCUUAUCCCUCACACUCAUACUAAUAAAUUAUUUGUAAUACAUUACCUGUUAUGAUAAUCUUAUAUACCUUGCGACUGUUAAGGUUUGCUGUUGACAGCUUGAAAUGAAGUAGAUCAUUCGUUUCCAGACAGUGAACCAAAGCGUGUCUCUUUUUUUUAUUUAAGAAAGAACAUUUUAGCUGGCGACGAGGUGAAAGUAAGAGUUUAUUUCGCGUGUGGCAUUAAGUGCUUUAUGAGAAGUUUUUCUGGGAGUUCAACUGGCCAAUUUAGGAGAUUGCUGUGCCGGUCUCGAGUGACGCUAUACCCGGAGCAUCGCGGAAGUGCUUUUGAGCAGCGCGGCCAAGGCAGAUUGUGUUCUCAGGUUGAAAACAUUCCCUGAUUGAGGCUGUCGGUCGAAUAAUUUGAGACAAAUAAGGAAGUAGUUGCUGUUGCUGGGCGUUUAAAAGUUGUUGCUGUUGCUGGGCAUUUGGAAGUUAUUGCUGCGGAUUCGAUAGUGUUGGCUGUUGCGGGACAUUCCGAGGAAUUCUGGUGGAUAACCGGUGGAGAGAUUGGCGUUGCGGAGUCGGGCUGGUACCAAUCGACGGUGUUGUUGCUGGAGGUUGAACAGAUUGCCAUCGGAGCGCAUCUCCUCACGGCCCACAGGGGGCAGAUAAAGCUCGUCAAGAAGAAUGAGAGAAGAAGGAAUGUGUCGUUCCAAGUCGAAGGCAGAGUUGCGAAUAGAAGGGGAGCGAAGAGACGAUAUCCUGCAUCAGAUGAUGAAGAACCAUUCCAUGGUUUCGAAUUCUCGAUCGAACCUCCACCAGCUAGGAGUGAACUGCACCCAGAAGCGUUGCAAGAGACUGCGGAUACUAGAAGGCCAACGAAUUUUCAAUCAGUUGGAGCUCGGAAAUCCACCAGGAAGAAGAAGAGAGCAGAACAUGAAGACUUCCUAUAUUAUUAGUACACACUAGUGAGAAUAUCAAGUGCUAUCGAAAAUGAAGGUUUAUUAUCAAGUGAACUCUGGUAUACGAAAAAUUGAUUUGAAAAGUUGAAUUAGUUGUAAAUAAUCAGUAAUGAUUUUCAAACUAAAAAGGGAAGGAAUUGUAAUGUACGUCUAUUAUCAUGGGGUUGUAUUUUGAUUUAACAUUCUUAUCCCUCACACUCAUACUAAUAAAUUAUUUGUAAUACAUUACCUGUUAUGAUAAUCUUAUAUACCUUGCGACUGUUAAGGUUUGCUGUUGACAGCUUGAAAUAAAGUAGAUCAUUCGUUUCCAGACAGUGAA